CCUACGGGAGGCAGCAGUGAGGAAUAUUGGUCAAUGGCCGCAGGGCUGAACCAGCCAAGUCGCGUGAGGGAUGACGGUCCUAUGGAUUGUAAACCUCUUUUGUCAGGGAGCAAAGGGCGCCACGUGUGGCGCUUUGCGAGUACCUGAAGAAAAAGCAUCGGCUAACUCCGUGCCAGCAGCCGCGGUAAUACGGAGGAUGCGAGCGUUAUCCGGAUUUAUUGGGUGUAAAGGGUGCGCAGGCGGAAUGUCAAGUCAGCGGUAAAAUUUCGGGGCUCAACCCCGUCGUGCCGUUGAAAAUGGCGUUCUUGAGUGAGCGAGAAGUAUGCGGAAUGCGUGGUGUAGCGGUGAAAUGCAUAGAUAUCACGCAGAACUCCGAUUGCGAAGGCAGCAUACCGGCGCUCAACUGACGCUCAUGCACGAAAGCGUGGGUAUCGAACAGGAUUAGAUACCCGAGUAGUC
RNAcentral lists this ribosomal RNA (459 nucleotides) under uncultured bacterium. Its description in RNAcentral is "partial 16S ribosomal RNA". It matches the Rfam family "Bacterial small subunit ribosomal RNA", at positions 338 to 795 of the family's 1533-position model. The record is from RNAcentral.